GCGAGUGUAGUUUAAUGGUAGAACUUCAGCCUUCCAAGCUGAAUACGAGGGUUCGAUUCCCUUCACUCGCACCA
This 74-nucleotide transfer RNA is filed under the name Metamycoplasma subdolum. Its description in RNAcentral is "tRNA-Gly". It matches the Rfam family "tRNA". Rfam says of the family: Transfer RNA (tRNA) molecules are approximately 80 nucleotides in length. Their secondary structure includes four short double-helical elements and three loops (D, anti-codon, and T loops). Further hydrogen bonds mediate the characteristic L-shaped molecular structure. tRNAs have two regions of fundamental functional importance: the anti-codon, which is responsible for specific mRNA codon recognition, and the 3' end, to which the tRNAs corresponding amino acid is attached (by aminoacyl-tRNA synthetases). tRNAs cope with the degeneracy of the genetic code in two manners: having more than one tRNA (with a specific anti-codon) for a particular amino acid; and 'wobble' base-pairing, i.e. permitting non-standard base-pairing at the 3rd anti-codon position. Lineage: Bacteria; Bacillati; Mycoplasmatota; Mycoplasmoidales; Metamycoplasmataceae. The record is from RNAcentral.